RNAcentral lists this ribosomal RNA (269 nucleotides) under uncultured bacterium. RNAcentral describes it as "partial 16S ribosomal RNA". It matches the Rfam family "Bacterial small subunit ribosomal RNA", at positions 333 to 619 of the family's 1533-position model. The record is from RNAcentral.
AUUGUCCUACGGGACGCAGCAGUGGGGAAUAUUGGGCAAUGGGGGAAACCCUGACCCAGCGGCGCCGCGUGAGGGAAGAAGGUUUUCGGAUUGUAAACCUCUGUCCUUGGUGACGAUAAUGACGGUAGCCAAGGAGGAAGCCACGGCUAACUACGUGCCAGCAGCCGCGGUAAUACGUAGGUGGCGAGCGUUGUCCGGAUUUACUGGGUGUAAAGGGAGCGUAGACGGCCAGACAAGUCUGAAGUGAAAAUCCAGCGCUUAACGUUGGA